CUGGACCAGAUAAGCAGCUUUACAUUCAUGCUAACCCCAUCAGUGCACCGGGAAUUAACCCAGUUCAUGUUGUUAAGCUUUUUGGAGUCAAUAUUUUGCAACUGCCGGUGGGGAAGACAGAAGGGGCAUUCUUGGAAUUACAACAACCUACCAAGAAGCAAAGAAUAAUCAAACCUUUGUAAUACAUAUUCAAUUUAAUUACCUUUUUCCUUUUUUCUUUUUCUUGCCAAGUUGCGCAACCUGACUUGUAUUAACCCAAAACAAAACAAUAACAUUUUUUUUAAUCUCUUUAUUUAUGCCUUUUAAUUUUCUUAAUCAAUUGCUUAUAAUAUUUACCCUUUUUUUAACCAUUAAAUUCUUUUUCUUUUCUUCAAAUUUUGAGUUGGGUUAUUAAAUGACUGCAAAUGGAUCUAAAAUAUUAUCCAAAUGGUUAGAUAUUUUAUGGACUUGGAAUAAUACCCUUCUCAAUCAAUGUAUUGGAUCAACCAAUAAGUGCACCUUAACUACUUAAUUAGCUAAAAGUAUAUGUCUUAGGAUAUAUGAUUUUGUUUCAAAAGUCAAAUUUUUAUAGUUCAACUAAUAGCAAUAAUAAGAAUAAUGAGACCACGUUUAUUACUUUUCUAACAUCAAAAGUUUUUUUUCUUUUUAUUCUUUUUCCUUACAUUAUACUUUUAUUUUAAAAGUCAAAAGUUUAAAAUUGCAAUAUAUUGGAUGAUAAGACUAAAUAUAUAGUCUGCCUCUUAAAAACCACUGAAUAAUUAAUAUAAAUGAUAUGAAAUUAAUUAAAGUUCGCAUAACAAUAAGAACAUAAUAAUCCAAAAAUAACACACUCAAAUCGUACAAAUCAAUACACUUUAAAAUAUCUAUAACGUGAAAACUGUCCUUUUAUAAAUAAUUUUGUUACUUUCCUUACUUUUUCAAUAUACAAAAUAAAAUCAAAAUAUUUAUAAAAUAUAAUAAAAUUUUAAAAUAUAUCAAUCAUAGAUACACUUUUAUCGGUAUUAAUUUAUGAUAUUGAUAGAAGUACGGUGAUAGAUUUAAAUUUUUUGUUAUAUUUGUUAAUAUUUUCAAUAAUUUUAAUUUAUUUUAAAGAUAAUUAUUAAUAAAUAAGGUCUAAAAAAGGUAAUUUCUAAAAAAAAUAAGAUGUAGUUUUCAAAAUUCUCAUAUAUUUUUGGAAUGCAUUUUUCUCAAUCUAUCUAAAAUAUUCUUUCUUGAUAUAACCGACACAAAUAUGCUAAAGUUCUACUUGAGAUUAUUGUAGUUUCUAAAAUACACAGUUCUACUGUGCUUUUAAAAAACUAAACUGUUAAAUUGAGCAAAUUAGUACUUGAUAAAUUUUAAAUUUAAAAUACCUGUUGCAUAAAGAAAGUAGUCUUCAAUUUUAUUUAUUUAUAUGUUAUUAUUUAAUUUACGAAUUUUAUAAUCGAAUUAUUUAUAUAUAACUUUCAUAGGUUAUACUAAAUUUAUUUAUUUAUAUUUAUUUAAAUUAGAUGAUCAAAAAGCCUAAAGAUGACUUUCCGCUCAUACAUGUUAUAUAGAUAGUCUAGACAAUAACUAUGACAAAUAAUUACCAACAAAUAAAAGUAAGAAAAGGAAACACAAAAGUUGGUAACCCAGUAUUUAUACAUCUAAAGGUAGAGUUACCAAAAAAAAAAGAUAAUCAACUGAUAUCAAAAGUAAGCAAAUUAAAAUGUAGUACUUAUUUGUAAUAGGCACUACAAACUACAACGACUCCCUUAGAGCUAAACUAAAUAAGCUUAUCUAGGCUCCCCCGCUACAAAAGGGGUAUUUUUCAAACCCAUGUAAUUGUAAAAGGAAAGAAAAGGUUAAAAAAUAAUGCUUAGGGCGUUGUGAAGAGUUUGGUUAGGAGAAGUUGUAUGGAUCGUCUGACGACGAUAUCAAAGACGUUGAGAGUUUGAUAAAUUUUUUAAAAAAUUACCUUCCAUUAUUACUUUUGUUUAUUUCUAUAAUCUACCAUUUUGAACCCAAAUCAAUAAUAAUUAAGUAAAUUGUUUUCAUACUUUAGAAUCAAACCCAUCAUGUCAAUUACAAAAUCAAAAGUUUCUAACUCAUAAUUGAAAUUUUGUAAUUCAUUACAUGACACAUUUAGUUAUGUCUAAUACAAGGAAGAAAGUUACAAAGUAAUUUCUUCAUAGUGAGUAAACAAAAUACAAGAUUCACCAUGUUUUGAAGAUUAAAGUAAUGAGUGUAAAUUCAAAGGCUAAUUAAUCAAUUGUCCAUAUACAAAACUUCAUUCUAUCCCCUACAAUAUACACCAACAAAAGAAUAACAUAUAGAGGAUGGAGUCAUUUACCAUAUUUUUCCAAAGUAUUUAUUAAUAGACAUUAGAAAAUCUUCAAGGUAGCACCUUGAAGAUAUAGAUAAAUUCAUUAAGUGAAAACUUUUUCUGUCUAUUUUCGUAGAAAGCAUAGAAUAAUUAAAGCCAUACAAAGUUUAAAGAAGGCUUAAAAGCUUGAAACAAAGAAAAAAUGGAUAAAGAACCACGGUAAAUCAAGAACAAGAUGGUAGAGAUUAAUUCUAAUAAAAUUUCCUUAAAAUAGAGGUAACAAAUUUUUUUAUGGAAUUCAUUACUCAAAGCAAUAUAAUACAAAGUUUUGACCACUAUCAACAUGAACAUUUUCAUGAACAUAUUUUCUUCCAAAAGGCUGGUUUUCUUAUAGCAUUUGAUUGCCUAUAUUAUUAAGGAAGAAUGGAUACAUUUUCCAUAAUAAGUAAAUUCCCAAUAAGGUUCAAAACAUUAAACAUAAAAGGAAAAAGAAAGGCAAUUACCUCAAAAAAAUAUUAAAUUCUUACCAGAAAUCUAUCAUUAUAUUUCUCUCUAAUCCUUGCAGCCUCUAUACUUUCUUUUCUCUAGUAAAACAAACAUGGUAAACUCCUCAGAUCUAAACUUACAAAAUGGACUUAAUACAAUACCAAUGCAGAAAAGAACAACAUUUUGGUAACAUAUAGUAGAAGACUACUAAGAUCGUGCUCUUGCUUGGAGUAACUUUUGGGCACCAGUUUUGAAAAUACAAUCCACCAGUGUCAAACUCCUUAAAUUUUAAUUAAAAACAAAAAAAAACAAAACCCCAGAAGUUUAGAUUGGAAAACUAACAAAUCUUAAAAUAUGAACAUUGCAAUUCAAACCCAACUAAUAAGGAUUGUGGAGAGAAAAAGGACAAACCGGGAGAGAGUUGAGCAAAACUAAUUGCGGCUGGCAGAGGACGAGAGAGGGAUGGACAAAGAGCGGAGACACAGAGGCAGGCAACUAGAAGAUUAACAAUGGGCGGCGGCGAAAGGGAGCCCUAGAAGUUCGAAGAGGAAGAUGUGAGAGAUGAAGUUUCAUAUCUGUGUUAUUGUGGGUUUUUCAAAAGGCAAUCUCCCGACGCCGUACGAAGGGUGCCAGAAGUUAAUAGGGAAUUCUCGAGGGGCUAUUUAAACUGUUGGAAGUUUGAAGAGAACCCCCAAUGCAUUAUUUAACAUGCAGGAGUUGGUAGAGAACUUCCAAUACCAUUAAAAACGUCGUCGGGAAAUACCAAAUUAAGUUUAUUGUUUUUUAUAACUGAAAGCCGGAUGAUCUAUCUCCCGACGCCAUUUUAUGCGAUGGUGGCUCCUCCUAAGUAUGACAAUAUUAGUGUCUUCACUUCCGUUUUUUUUGUUAAUGAUUGAGAGACUCCUCUCAUGAAGAUAUCGUCUUUCCUUGUGGUUUA
Molecule: long non-coding RNA, 3710 nt
Filed under: Cucumis sativus (cucumber)
Lineage: Eukaryota; Viridiplantae; Streptophyta; Magnoliopsida; Cucurbitales; Cucurbitaceae
Description: long non-coding RNA (CSAT_LNC001959)
Source: RNAcentral